CUCUUUUGAAUUAUAUAUAAAAGUAUAACCUGCCCACUGAAUUAUUUAAAUGGCCGCAGUAUUUUGACUGUGCAAAGGUAGCAUAAUAAUUAGUUUUUUAAUUAAAAGCUUGUAUGAAUGGUUGGACGAGGUAAAUACUGUCUUUAAAUAAUUUAUAAUAGAAUUUAAUUUUUAAGUUAAAAAGCUUAAAUAAUUUUAAAAGACGAGAAGACCCUAUAGAUCUUUAUUAUUUUUUUUGUAAAAAUUAUUUAGAUUUUUAUGAUUUUUAUAAUUAAAAUAAUUUUAUUGGGGUAAUAUAAAGAUUAAAAUAAUUCUUUAUUAUUUGAAACAUAAAUUUAUGGUUUAUUUGAUCCAGUUUUAUUGAUUAUAAGAUUAAGUUACCUUAGGGAUAACAGCGUAAUUUUUUUAAAGAGUUCAUAUCGAUAAAAAAGAUUGCGACCUCGAUGUUGGAUUAAAAGUAAUUUUAGGUGUAGAAGCUUAAAGUUUUGGUCUGUUCGACCAUUAAAUUUUUACAUGAUCUGAGUUCAGACCGGCGUAAGCCAGGUCGGUUUCUAUCUUUAAAAAAAAAAAUUAUAUUUUAGUACGAAAGGACCAAAUAUGAGAUAUAGUAUAUAUUUAAAAUUUUGAAUAUUAUUAU
RNAcentral lists this ribosomal RNA (637 nucleotides) under Dineutus indicus. RNAcentral's name for it is "partial 16S ribosomal RNA". The stretch from base 388 to 546 matches the Rfam family "Bacterial large subunit ribosomal RNA", at positions 2473 to 2632 of the family's 2925-position model. The record is from RNAcentral. Lineage: Eukaryota; Metazoa; Arthropoda; Insecta; Coleoptera; Gyrinidae.